UGAGGAAUAUUGCGCAAUGGGCGAAAGCCUGACGCAGCGACGCCGCGUGGAGGAUGAAGGUCUUCGGAUUGUAAACUUCUGUUAAGUGGGAAGAAAGAGCCGUUUUUAAUAGAGACGGUAAAUGACGGUACCAUUAAAGAAAGCACCGGCUAAACUCGUGCCAGCAGCCGCGGUAAUACGAGUGGUGCAAGCGUUAUUCGGAAUAAUUGGGCGUACAGGGUGUGUAGGCGGCAUGUUAAGUCUGUUGUUAAAUUCUCCGGCCUAACCGGAGACAGGCAGCGGAAACUGGCGUGCUAGAGGGUGGAAGAGAGAAGUGGAAUUCUCGGUGUAGCGGUAAAAUGCGUAGAUAUCGAGAGGAACACCGAUGGCGAAGGCAGCUUCUUGGUCCAUUUCUGACGCUGAAACACGAAAGCGUGGGGAGCAAACAGG
This 429-nucleotide ribosomal RNA is filed under the name uncultured bacterium. Its description in RNAcentral is "bacterial SSU rRNA". It matches the Rfam family "Bacterial small subunit ribosomal RNA", at positions 355 to 776 of the family's 1533-position model. The record is from RNAcentral.